Molecule: ribosomal RNA, 253 nt
Filed under: uncultured bacterium
Lineage: Bacteria
Description: partial 16S ribosomal RNA
Rfam family: Bacterial small subunit ribosomal RNA
Source: RNAcentral
UACGUAGGGGGCAAGCGUUGUCCGGAAUCAUUGGGCGUAAAGCGCGCGUAGGCGGCCCUGUAAGUCCGUUGUGAAAGUCAAAGGCUCAACCUUUGAAAGCCGAUGGAUACUGCAGGGCUAGAGUCCGGAAGAGGAGAGUGGAAUUCCUGGUGUAGCGGUGAAAUGCGCAGAUAUCAGGAAGAACACCAAUGGCGAAGGCAGCUCUCUGGGACGGUACUGACGCUGAGACGCGAAAGCGUGGGGAGCGAACAGG